Sorghum bicolor (sorghum) is the source of this 295-nucleotide long non-coding RNA. RefSeq lists it as uncharacterized. The record is from RefSeq and is a predicted model, not a curated record. Lineage: Eukaryota; Viridiplantae; Streptophyta; Magnoliopsida; Poales; Poaceae. The transcript is spliced from 3 exons.
UGCAGUCCUACAAAUAUUGGCACUCCAUUUGCAGGGAGGAGUCACCUCAGUUAUUUUCAUGUUGUGUGGGAUGAGAAAAAAAUUACCAUUCAUUGACGAUGAUUAUAAAGCUCAGCUAUGAUGUUCUAUAGGUAUGUACAAACCUUGAGAAGAUGAGAGAGAAGAUGGUGAAGGAGGGACAGGAGGUGAGCUAUCACAUGUGGGCAGAGGCAGAUGGAGUUGAUGAGGCAGAGCUGAAGAGCAAGCUGCAAGCAGGUUACUGCUGAGAGAGGCUGCUGGUGCUUGUUCCAUUUGG